UAGAGUUUGAUCCUGGCUCAGAAUCAACGCUGGCGGCGUGCCUAACACAUGCAAGUCGAACGCGAAAGUCCCGCAAGGGAUGAGUAGAGUGGCAAACGGGUGAGUAACACGUGGGCGACCUGCCUUCGAGCGGGGGAUAACGUCCCGAAAGGGACGCUAAUACCGCAUGACAUCCUGUCUUUCAAGAGAUGGCGAUCAAAGCUGGGGAUCGCAAGACCUAGCACUCGAAGAGGGGCCCGCGUCCGAUUAGCUAGUUGGUGAGGUAACGGCUCACCAAGGCAACGAUCGGUAGCCGGCCUGAGAGGGCGGACGGCCACACUGGGACUGAGACACGGCCCAGACUCCUACGGGAGGCAGCAGUGGGGAAUUGUUCGCAAUGGGCGUAAGCCUGACGACGCAACGCCGCGUGGAGGAUGAAGAUCUUCGGGUCGUAAACUCCUUUCGAUCGAGACGAAUUCCCCUGGGGUGAACAAUCCCGGGGGUUGACGGUACCGAGAGAAGAAGCCCCGGCUAACUCCGUGCCAGCAGCCGCGGUAAUACGGGGGGGGCAAGCGUUGUUCGGAAUUACUGGGCGUAAAGGGCUCGUAGGCGGCCAACUAAGUCAGACGUGAAAUCCCUCGGCUUAACCGGGGAACUGCGUCUGAUACUGGAUGGCUUGAGUUGGGAGAGGGAUGCGGAAUUCCAGGUGUAGCGGUGAAUGCGUAGAUAUCUGGAGGACACGGUGGCGAGGCGGCAUCCUGGAUCACACUGACGCUGAGAGCGAAGCCAGGGAGCAACGGGAUAGAUACUCCGGUAGUCCUGUCCUCACGAU
RNAcentral lists this ribosomal RNA (811 nucleotides) under uncultured soil bacterium. RNAcentral's name for it is "SSU rRNA". It matches the Rfam family "Bacterial small subunit ribosomal RNA", at positions 1 to 810 of the family's 1533-position model. The record is from RNAcentral.